CAGAAGGGGGACCGAAAAUUAGGCUGGGAAGAGCUGAUUUCCGGAAAAAGUAGAGCGAGCCUUCUCCUCGUGGUAUUCAAAGAGUACAGACGUACAUAUACGUCGCGGCCACGGCCAUAUGGAGCGAACAUAAAAAGAAGACAGAAGAGGUUGCUGCCAGUUACCGGAUGAGUUCCGAAUAAAUUACCCACGUAACACCGGAGAAAUACGUACGGCGUCCACUGGGCCCAUAGAGGGGCAUAUUUUUGGAAGACCACCCUGGCCCCCACCAGCAGCUUUAGCGCAGGCGCGACCCAGUGCCCGAUUUCCGUUCGAGAGCGGCUCCAACAGCACCAAGGCAGGAACAGCCGCGAUCGAGCCCCUCGACCAUCAUCCCCCGCCUACAACGGCUUGAGAGCCGAAAUUAGCGAGUUGUGUUAAGUGAUGUGACCACCUGACGAUCUCUGACCAAGGCCUUGACGGUAUAUUUCUAUGUGCGGUUCAACAUAACCUGCCUAUGUACCGGUGCCACCACAUUCUGGCUUAACAUUUUUUGUUGCUCCCCUAAACCAACUAAAAUCAACGGCAUAGUGACAGUGAAGAACAAAAUACGAAACUCUAUAUGUUCCACUGUACAUUUAAAACAUAUGUGCACUUGCGAGGUCAUUGACUCGUGCAGGCUACGUAGAGGCCGUGCUUUUCAAAUUUAUACUUGUGUCCCCAUGCCAUCGCUGCCAUGUCUGGAUUCAGACCACGUUUUGAAUUUGAUUAAUACAAAUGUAAAGAAAAGUAGUGAUAUUUAGCGCAAGUGACAAAAACAUUAUGAAACUAACGUAAAAUUUACUUAUUCCAUUAAAUUUGUUUAAAUUCAACCCCAAAAAGAAAUAAUCAAAACAAACGGAGAGAAAUCAUAUGUUUAUGUGUGUAUGAUCCCUUGUGUGUGCUCUCUCUUAAAAGCUUUCAGGUUCGCUCUCCCAUCGCCGAAAGAUCUUUUGGACAUAGAUGACAUAAAGCAAAUACGUAAGUGAAAGAACCUAUUUUAUUGCAAAUCUUAACUUGUUAGAGACUUUACUGCCAUGCACAUUAAAUAAAUACUUGAUCGGUCUUUCUUGUUGUUGCGAUUUCGGCCAACGUAAAGUUGUGAGCUUUCGGAGCUUCUUCAAAGCUUGGCUUUAUCUAUGGAGCUUUACACUUAUGAGAAUUUAAUUAGAGCCAAAAUAAUUUCCGUUGGAAUAAAAAUGAAAAUGAAAUGAAUGAAUUAAAAAUAAUUACAUAUUAAUCCAAAACAAAUCGAACUAAAUUAAAACUUUACAUUUUGAAUACAAUUAAUGGAAUCUAACUAUUAAAAUUAUUAUAAUUAAUAUUUCAUUAUUCACCUUAUUCACUUAUUCAUAUAUAU
Molecule: long non-coding RNA, 1378 nt
Filed under: Drosophila guanche
Lineage: Eukaryota; Metazoa; Arthropoda; Insecta; Diptera; Drosophilidae
Source: RNAcentral